AUACGUAGGUGACAAGCGUUAUCCGGAUUUACUGGGCGUAAAGGGCGUGUAGGCGGUCUUGCAAGUCAGAAGUGAAAUUCCUGAGCUCAACUCGGGCGCUGCUUCUGAAACUGCAGGACUUGAGUGCUGGAGGGGAUAGCGGAAUUCCUAGUGGAGCGGUAAAAUGCGCAGAUAUUAGGAAGAACCCCGGUGGCGAAGGCGGCUAUCUGGACAGUAACUGACGCUGAGGCGCGAAAGCGUGGGGAGCAAACAGGAUUAGAUACUCUGGUAGUCCACGCCGUAAACGAUGAAUACUAGGUGUAGGGGGUAUCGACUCCCUCUGUGCCGCAGUUAACACAAUAAGUAUUCCGCCUGGGGAGUACGGCCGCAAGGUUGAAACUCAAAUGAAUUGGCGGGG
This 397-nucleotide ribosomal RNA is filed under the name uncultured bacterium. RNAcentral's name for it is "partial 16S ribosomal RNA". It matches the Rfam family "Bacterial small subunit ribosomal RNA", at positions 523 to 918 of the family's 1533-position model. The record is from RNAcentral.